RNAcentral lists this ribosomal RNA (450 nucleotides) under uncultured bacterium. Its description in RNAcentral is "partial 16S ribosomal RNA". It matches the Rfam family "Bacterial small subunit ribosomal RNA", at positions 354 to 796 of the family's 1533-position model. The record is from RNAcentral.
GUGGGGAAUCUUCCGCAAUGGACGAAAGUCUGACGGAGCAACGCCGCGUGAGUGAUGACGGCCUUCGGGUUGUAAAGCUCUGUGAUCGGGGACGAAUGGCUGGUGUGCUAAUACCACAUCAGAGUGACGGUACCCGAAUAGCAAGCCACGGCUAACUACGUGCCAGCAGCCGCGGUAAUACGUAGGUGGCAAGCGUUGUCCGGAAUUAUUGGGCGUAAAGCGCGCGCAGGCGGCUUCUUAAGUCCAUCUUAAAAGUGCGGGGCUUAACCCCGUGAUGGGAUGGAAACUGGGAGGCUGGAGUAUCGGAGAGGAAAGUGGAAUUCCUAGUGUAGCGGUGAAAUGCGUAGAGAUUAGGAAGAACACCGGUGGCGAAGGCGACUUUCUGGACGACAACUGACGCUGAGGCGCGAAAGCGUGGGGAGCAAACAGGAUUAGAAACCCCAGUAGUCC